AGGGCGCAGGGCGAAUGCCUUGGCACUGGGAGCCGAUGAAAGACGUGAUAAGCUGCGAUAAGCUUCGGGGAGCUGCAAAUAAGCAUUGAUCCGGAGAUUUCUGAAUGAGGAAACUCACCUGGGUUCAUACUCAGGUACGUUAUACUGAACUUCAAAAUAGGUAUAUCGAGGGAACCGCCUGAACUGAAACAUCUAAGUAGGGCGAGGAAGAGACAUCAAACGAGAUUCCGUAAGUAGUGGCGAGCGAACGCGGAAGAGGGCAAACCGGGAGUAGAAAUACUUCCGGGGUACGGACUGCUUUUAGGACUUAAUCUGUUAACCGAACGGCAUGGGAAGGCCGGUCAGAGAGUGUGAGAACCACGUAGGUGAAAACGGAGAGAGCUGCGCAGAUUCCAGAGUACGGCCAGACACGUGAAACCUGGUCGGAAGAUGGGGGGACCACCCUCCAACCCUAAAUACUACCCAGUGACCGAUAGCGUAUAGUACUGUGAAGGAAAGGUGAAAAGCACCCCGGGAGGGGAGUGAAAAAGAACCUGAAACCCUGUGCCUACAAGCACCUAGAGCACGUCAAUGUGUGAUAGGGUACUUUUUGUAGAACGGUCCGGCGAGCGAUUGUAUGCAGCAAGGUUAAGGACUUAAGGUCUGGAGCCGAAGCGAAAGCGAGUUUGAAAAGGGCGUUAAGUUGCAUAUAAUGGGCCCGAAACCGGGUGACCUACCCAUGGUCAGGUUGAAGUGGAAGUAAAAUUCCAUGGAGGACCGAACCGACCUCCGUUGAAAAGGCGGCGGAUGAACUGUGGGUAGCGGAGAAAUUCCAAUCGAACCCGGAGAUAGCUGGUUCUCCCCGAAAUAGUUUUAGGACUAGCCUCAAGUUAGAUACCUGGAGGUAAAGCACUGAAUAGCCUAGCGGCCGAGAGGUUAGCGAAGCUUAUCAAACUCAGAAUGCCAGAGUAUUGAUGCUUGGGAGUCAGACAGUGUCAGAUAAAUGUCAUUGUCAAAAGGGAAACAGCCCAGAUCUACAGCUAAGGUCCCAAAGUCAGGUUAAGUGGAAAACGAUGUGAAGAUACGCAGACAACCAGGAUGUUGGCUCAGAAGCAGCCACUCAUUCAAAGAGUGCGUAAUAGCUCACUGGUCGAGCGUCUUUGCGCGGAGAAUUUAACGGGGCUAAACCUGACACCGAAGCUUAGGCAAUCCAGUAAUGGAUUGGGUAGGGGAGCGUUGUAUACGCGGAGAAACAGUAGCGUAAGCGGCUGUGGAGUGUAUAGAAGUGAGAAUGCCGGAAUGAGUAGCGCGAAUGCAGUGAGAAUCUGCAUGGCCGAAAGCCUCAGGUUUUUGGAGGAAGGUUCGUCCGCUCCAAGUUAGUCGGGAGCUAAGGUGAGGCCGGAAGGCGUAGCCGAUGCACAGACGGUAGAGAUUCCGUCACCACCAAAAGAGUUAAGCACAGGGACACAUUUGAAGUCUCAGAGCCGGGUGUUGGUUCCGGUAGAGAUCGAGGGAAGUUAGUACCGAAGUCUGGGAUGGAAGAUGGCGAGAAAAGCUGUGUGUAUUUCUGAGGUGCCCGUACCGCAAACCGACACAGGUAGGUAGGAAGAAGAUUCUAAGGCCAACGGGAGAAGGGUUGUUAAGGAACUCGGCAAAUUGACCCCGUAACUUCGGGAGAAGGGGUGCUCCAGAGAUGGAGCCGCAGAGAAUCGGCCCAAGCAACUGUUUACCAAAAACACAGGUUUGUGCUAAAUCGAAAGAUGACGUAUACGAGCUGACGCCUGCCCGGUGCUGGAAGGUUAAGAGGAGAUGUGCAAGCAUUGAAUCGAAGCCCCAGUGAACGGCGGCCGUAACUAUAACGGUCCUAAGGUAGCGAAAUUCCUUGUCAGGUAAGUUCUGACCCGCAUGAAAGGCGUAAUGAUUUGGGCACUGUCUCAACAGCCCGCCCGGCGAAAUUGUAGUACCGGUGAAGAUGCCGGUUACCCGCGACAAGACGGAAAGACCCCAUGGAGCUUUACUGUAGCCUAAUAUUGGGUUUCGAUGUUGCAUGCACAGGAUAGAUGGGACACUGGGAAGCAGGUGCUUUGGCGCUUGUGGAGUGGCCGUUGGGAUACCAUCCUUGCGAUAUUGGAAUUCUAACCUGCGCCUUUGAAUCAAGGCGGGGGACAUUGUUAGGUGGGCAGUUUGACUGGGGCGGUCGCCUCCUAAAGAGUAACGGAGGCGUUCAAAGGUUCGCUCAGCUUGAACGGAAAUCAAGCAAAAG
RNAcentral lists this ribosomal RNA (2242 nucleotides) under human gut metagenome. RNAcentral describes it as "bacterial LSU rRNA". It matches the Rfam family "Bacterial large subunit ribosomal RNA", at positions 14 to 2347 of the family's 2925-position model. The record is from RNAcentral.